AGCUUGCUCCCGGAUGUUAGCGGCGGACGGGUGAGUAACACGUGGGUAACCUGCCUGUAAGACUGGGAUAACUCCGGGAAACCGGAGCUAAUACCGGAUAGUUCCUUGAACCGCAUGGUUCAAGGAUGAAAGACGGUUUCGGCUGUCACUUACAGAUGGACCCGCGGCGCAUUAGCUAGUUGGUGAGGUAACGGCUCACCAAGGCGACGAUGCGUAGCCGACCUGAGAGGGUGAUCGGCCACACUGGGACUGAGACACGGCCCAGACUCCUACGGGAGGCAGCAGUAGGGAAUCUUCCGCAAUGGACGAAAGUCUGACGGAGCAACGCCGCGUGAGUGAUGAAGGUUUUCGGAUCGUAAAGCUCUGUUGUUAGGGAAGAACAAGUGCAAGAGUAACUGCUUGCACCUUGACGGUACCUAACCAGAAAGCCACGGCUAACUACGUGCCAGCAGCCGCGGUAAUACGUAGGUGGCAAGCGUUGUCCGGAAUUAUUGGGCGUAAAGGGCUCGCAGGCGGUUUCUUAAGUCUGAUGUGAAAGCCCCCGGCUCAACCGGGGAGGGUCAUUGGAAACUGGGAAACUUGAGUGCAGAAGAGGAGAGUGGAAUUCCACGUGUAGCGGUGAAAUGCGUAGAGAUGUGGAGGAACACCAGUGGCGAAGGCGACUCUCUGGUCUGUAACUGACGCUGAGGAGC
This 692-nucleotide ribosomal RNA is filed under the name Bacillus pumilus. RNAcentral's name for it is "bacterial SSU rRNA". It matches the Rfam family "Bacterial small subunit ribosomal RNA", at positions 77 to 754 of the family's 1533-position model. Lineage: Bacteria; Bacillati; Bacillota; Bacilli; Caryophanales; Bacillaceae. The record is from RNAcentral.